UACGGAGGAUGCGAGCGUUAUCCGGAUUUAUUGGGUUUAAAGGGUGCGCAGGCGGAAUGUCAAGUCAGCGGUAAAAUUUCGGGGCUCAACCCCGUCGUGCCGUUGAAACUGGCGUUCUUGAGUGAGCGAGAAGUAUGCGGAAUGCGUGGUGUAGCGGUGAAAUGCUUAGAUAUAACUUAGAACUCCGAUAGCGAAGGCAGCUUACCAGACUGCGACUGACGCUGAAGCACGAGAGCGUGGGUAGCGAACAGG
RNAcentral lists this ribosomal RNA (252 nucleotides) under uncultured Bacteroidales bacterium. Its description in RNAcentral is "partial 16S ribosomal RNA". It matches the Rfam family "Bacterial small subunit ribosomal RNA", at positions 524 to 776 of the family's 1533-position model. The record is from RNAcentral. Lineage: Bacteria; Pseudomonadati; Bacteroidota; Bacteroidia; Bacteroidales.